CCUACGGGCGACAGCAGUGAGGAAUAUUGGUCAAUGGACGCAAGUCUGAACCAGCCAUGCCGCGUGCGGGAAGACGGCUCUAUGAGUUGUAAACUGCUUUUGUACGAGGGUAAACGCAGGUACGCGUAUCUGUCUGAAAGUAUCGUACGAAUAAGGAUCGGCUAACUCCGUGCCAGCAGCCGCGGUAAUACGGAGGAUUCAAGCGUUAUCCGGAUUUAUUGGGUUUAAAGGGUGCGUAGGCGGUCGGAUAAGUUAGAGGUGAAAUCCCGAGGCUCAACUUCGGAAGUGCCUCUGAUACUGUCGGGCUAGAGAGUAGUAGAGGUAGGCGGAAUGCAUGGUGUAGCGGUGAAAUGCUUAGAGAUCAUACAGAACCCCGAUUGCGAAGGCAGCUUACC
RNAcentral lists this ribosomal RNA (395 nucleotides) under uncultured bacterium. Its description in RNAcentral is "partial 16S ribosomal RNA". It matches the Rfam family "Bacterial small subunit ribosomal RNA", at positions 338 to 730 of the family's 1533-position model. The record is from RNAcentral.